This 997-nucleotide unclassified non-coding RNA is filed under the name Hevea brasiliensis (rubber tree). Lineage: Eukaryota; Viridiplantae; Streptophyta; Magnoliopsida; Malpighiales; Euphorbiaceae. The record is from RNAcentral.
UCAAAAAAAAAAAAAAAAGGCAAUACAAAUUCACUUGGGAUUUAUCUGGUAUGAAGACUGACCGAUCAACCUGUUAAAAGAAAAAAUAAUAUGAAAGGACCAUCAGUAAAAUCAAAAUCCAAAUCACUGGAAUGAAUCAUGUAUGUUUCUCAAUCCAAAAAUACCAUAUUUUCUGCAUUUGCUAGUGAAAUUAGAAAGAAAUAAAACAAAACAAACUUAAUCAUGACGACUAGAAACAAGAAAUGAAUCCUACGAACAUUUUGUGAAAUCCGACCUAACCCAUUUCAAGUUUGACCACAUGAAAAAGCGUAACGGUUAAUUUUGGGGAAAAAAAAAAAAUCAAAACCAUCAAAAUUAAGAAAGCAAACUAUGGAUGCCUAGUGCCCAACUGUUGGGAAAAACAAGCGUCCAUCCAUUACGUAUUGCGUAAAACACAUAAUAGAAGUAUUAUAGUUAGGCAAGUUGCAAGCUUGUCUUUGAGACUUAGAUCCAUGUUCCUAGUCAAAAACCGCAGACUAAAAUUUAAUAAUACAAUCUUAAAAGUGUUACCAAUUACUCAAGCAAUAAUAAUUAUUAUAAUAAUAAACGUUACUAACUUCCUACAACUGAAUCUAGUAAAUGGAUAGCCAAGCGAAAUGAAAAGGAUUGAUCCAAUUGAAACAAAGAAUGGCAAGGCAUGGGAAAGCAAUACUUAUACAAUUGGUAAACUAUGUGGACGGAUUAACUAAUCGAAUUGAAGUAAAAUUAACCAACGAAAUGACAACAACGUAAGCAACUUAAAUGGCCCAAAACUAGCAGAUCUGGAGCAAAGCUACUACCUUGCAUUGUUAACCCAUAAAUAACUAAUACAAUAGACUCGUUUAUCAAGCAAUAAUGAGAAUACAAGCAAAUUGAUGCAUCCAAACCUAAUAAAAACCCGAUGAACCGAUGUGGCAUUCCAAUCAGAUCCAGCCAAAAAAGCACAUCUUUAAGCAAAACCCACAAAUAAAUCACCCAG